RNAcentral lists this long non-coding RNA (777 nucleotides) under Papio anubis (olive baboon). RNAcentral describes it as "lncRNA (ENSPANG00000047740.1)". Lineage: Eukaryota; Metazoa; Chordata; Mammalia; Primates; Cercopithecidae. The record is from RNAcentral.
CUGUAUGUCUGUUCUGAAUUCGAAUCUGUGACUCAAGCAGGUUCGAAACUGCUGGCAAUAGUCCUGGGCGGACGCCAGCUUAUAGGACAGCCAAUGGAGACCGGUGGGAGACGUCCCCUGGCUCUCUUCUGAUUUAAAUUGCGAUCUGAGUUGCCGGAGCGCGUUUGCAAUCCGGGCAACAGCUGACUCUGACCCCGGUUCCCAGGCGCGCGCGUGCGGUCUGAGUUGCCCCGGUUCCCGGGCGCGCGCGUGCGGUCUGAGUUGCCCCGGUUCCCGGGCGCGCGCGUGCGGUCUGAGUUGCCCCGGUUCCCGGGCGCGCCCGCUUGCGGCCCCAGUCCCCAGGCUCCCGGCUUCCGGCGCCGCGCUUGCGGCCCCGGUCCCCGGACUCCCGCCUUCCGGCGCCGCGCUUGCGGCUCCGGUCCCCGGGCUCCCGGCUUCCGGCGCGGUUCCUGGGCGCGCACGCUUGCGGCCCCGGUCCCCGGGCUCCCGGCUUCCGGCGCCGCGCUUGCAGCCCCGGUCCCCAGGCUCCUGGCUUCCGGCGCGGAUUUCCUUUACAGGGAUUGUAACCCACAUUCCUUUACAGGAAGAGACACAGAAACCUUGCAGAAAAUUCAUCAAGAAAUCUGGCCCAAGCUGAAGGAACUAUAUGAGACCGGUCCCCUGCCGACACCCCAUCCAUACCAGCCGGGAGACUGGGUCCUGGUCAAGCGACACCGACAAGAGACCCUAGAACCCAGGUGGAAAGGACCACUCCAGAUUUCCAAGCCGAAAUUCUAG